This 1843-nucleotide long non-coding RNA is filed under the name Gossypium barbadense (sea-island cotton). RNAcentral describes it as "long non-coding RNA (GBAR_LNC017550)". Lineage: Eukaryota; Viridiplantae; Streptophyta; Magnoliopsida; Malvales; Malvaceae. The record is from RNAcentral.
AAUUUUUCAAUUUUUAGAAAGACGUUCCGCAUUUAACAAAAAUCCAUGAUAUACACCCAACAUAGCAGUGAAAUCAAUGGCUUAAUGUCAAACCGAUUCGUUGCCCUAUGUAUUGAAAUUAUUUAAAUUUAAAAAUAAUAAAUAAAGUAGACAUAAUAAUAUUUCAAAAAGGUUAUUUGAAAAUGCUAAUUUAAUUAAAAUGGGUAUCUUUUAAAUACAUGGACUAAAUUUACAAUGGAUUAAAAUUUUACCAAAAGCCUAAGGUUAUGGACUUGAAACCAUGCAAAUCGGGCCUCCUUUCUCACUUUUUUUUUCAAUUUGGUAUGCUGCUGGACGGGCUGACUGGAUUGGGCUGCGGCUGUUGGGCUUGUUGUUGGGUCUGCUGGUAUUGUUGUUGCUGGGCCGCUGUUGGGUUGGUAUGCUAUUGGGUCUACAACUGGCAACGAAUCAGAUCUGGUUCGGGUCAGUAGUUUGGAUCGACGGUACGGGUCAAGUUGAACCGACUGUUCUUUUUCUUUUUCUUUCUUUUUCCUUCUUCUUUCAACUCAAACCCUAGCCCCUUUUUUUCUUUUCUGACGCUUCAUUUGCCCGGCGGUGCGACAGUCGCUGGUGUUUUGCCCCUCAUAUCUUUUCUCCUCUUUCUCUUCUCUCUUCUUUCUCUUUUUUUUCUUUUCUCUUUUCUUCCUCUUUUUUCUCUUCUUGUUUUGCUUAUUUUUCAGGGGACAAUCGUCUCAUCCACCGCCGUUCGUCGCUCAUCGCUCGGGCCACGGCCGGACCUUUCCCUUUUGCCAGCGUCUUCCCCUAAAAGGUGAGUUAUAUUUUUUUAUUUUUAUAUUUUGGUUGUUGUGAUUACUCGGGUUUCAAUAAUGGCGGAUGGAAAGCGGCAAGGCAGUGGGGCGAUGACGGUCACGGUGGCGGUGGGGGAAGCGGCCACGACGAUUCGAAGGUAACAAAGCUAUUUUUUUCUUUUUUUGAAGUCUUUUUUUUCUUUUUUCUACCUCUGUUCCUGGCUGCCAAUUUUUUGCAAGAAAAACGUCCUCUUAUUGUUGUUGAUUACUCCUUUUUCUCUUUGUUUUCAGGUAGCAGUUGAGGAGGGCCAUCAUGAGCCUAGGCCGGCCGCCGAAAAUAACGGAGGGUAGGUGCGCGAAAUGCGCCUGGCGGCUACAAACUGAUGUAGUUUGCCAGAAAGACCGUAUUGUAGAGGAUGCAAAACUUUCAGGGUCAAAAUGUAAUUUUAGAAAAAUUUAGAGGGUUAAAAUGUAAUUUUAGGAAAAGUUGGAGGGUCAAAUGUAAUUUUAGGAUAAUUUAGGGUUAAAAUGUAAUUUUAGGAAAGUUGGAGACCAAAAUGUAAUUAGUUAAUUUUUGUAUUUUUUUCUAAUUUUCUUUUAUUUUUAUUAUUUUUUAAAAUUAAUAUAACAUAAAAACAAAAACACUAAUGGGCUAAAGCCCAAUCAAGUCCAAAAUUAGAUAAGUAAAAGCCCAAUUGUCCAAUCACAACAGGCCCAAUCAUUAGGCCCAAUGAUUGGGCCCAUAUGAGACAAGCCCAAACCUUAGACCCAUUGAUCCAAAAAAACAAAAUUCAGGGAUUACAACCACUGCAGUACUAAAAACAUAAACUAUAAUACCACUUGUCACGUGCUUAGACUUAUCCAUGUAAUCGUGCGGUCUUAGACUCAAAUUUCUCGCCCAUGAGCCUAAGUCAAUUUUCAAUCCUCCCUUGGGAGAGGCUUUGGCACACUUAGACUAGACAAGCAACGGAAAAAAUGAGCUUAAAUAGCACAAGUAAAGAAUGCAAGAAAACUUGGAGAAUGUGAAAGUAUAUUUCUCAAAUAAAAGAUAGCUU